UGCGUAGGCGGGUUUCUAAGUCAGAGGUGAAAGCCUGGAGCUCAACUCCAGAACUGCCUUUGAUACUGGAAGUCUUGAGUUCGGGAGAGGUGAGUGGAACUGCGAGUGUAGAGGUGAAAUUCGUAGAUAUUCGCAAGAACACCAGUGGCGAAGGCGGCUCACUGGCCCGAUACUGACGCUGAGGCACGAAAGCUGGGGGAGCAAACA
RNAcentral lists this ribosomal RNA (207 nucleotides) under uncultured bacterium. RNAcentral's name for it is "partial 16S ribosomal RNA". It matches the Rfam family "Bacterial small subunit ribosomal RNA", at positions 568 to 774 of the family's 1533-position model. The record is from RNAcentral.